AUUGAACGCUGGCGGCAUGCCUUACACAUGCAAGUCGAACGGCAGCGCGGGGGCAACCCUGGCGGCGAGUGGCGAACGGGUGAGUAAAAUAUCGGAACGUGCCCUAAAGUGGGAGAUAACGUAGCGAAAGUUACGCUAAUACCGCAUAAGAUCUAAGGAUGAAAGCGGGGGAUCGCAAGACCUCGUGCUUUAGGAGUGGCCGAUAACUGAUUAGCUAGUUGGUGGGGUAAAGGCUCACCAAGGCGACGAUCAGUAGCUGGUCUGAGAGGACGACCAGCCACGCUGGGACUGAGACACGGCCCAGACUCCUACGGGAGGCAGCAGUGGGGAAUUUUGGACAAUGGGGGCAACCCUGAUCCAGCAAUGCCGCGUGUGUGAAGAAGGUCUUCGGGUUGUAAAGCACUUUUGUUCGGGACGAAACGGUUUGGGCUAAUACCCUGAGCUAAUGACGGUACCGAAAGAAUAAGCACCGGCUAACUACGUGCCAGCCGCCGCAGUAA
This 500-nucleotide ribosomal RNA is filed under the name uncultured bacterium. RNAcentral describes it as "partial 16S ribosomal RNA". It matches the Rfam family "Bacterial small subunit ribosomal RNA", at positions 30 to 523 of the family's 1533-position model. The record is from RNAcentral.